RNAcentral lists this ribosomal RNA (490 nucleotides) under uncultured bacterium. Its description in RNAcentral is "partial 16S ribosomal RNA". It matches the Rfam family "Bacterial small subunit ribosomal RNA", at positions 28 to 507 of the family's 1533-position model. The record is from RNAcentral.
GAUGAACGCUCGCUACAGGCUUAACACAUGCAGGUCGAGGGGCAGCAUGGUCUUAGCUUGCUAAGGCCGAUGGCGACCGGCGCACGGGUGAGUAACACGUAUCCAACCUGCCGUCUACUCUUGGACAGCCUUCUGAAAGGAAGAUUAAUACAAGAUGGCAUCAUGAGUUCACAUGUUCACAUGAUUAAAGGUAUUCCGGUAGACGAUGGGGAUGCGUUCCAUUAGAUAGUAGGCGGGGUAACGGCCCACCUAGUCUUCGAUGGAUAGGGGUUCUGAGAGGAAGGUCCCCCACAUUGGAACUGAGACACGGUCCAAACUCCUACGGGAGGCAGCAGUGAGGAAUAUUGGUCAAUGGGCGAGAGCCUGAACCAGCCAAGUAGCGUGAAGGAUGACUGCCCUAUGGGUUGUAAACUUCUUUUAUAAAGGAAUAAAGUCGGGUAUGUAUACCCGUUUGCAUGUACUUUAUGAAUAAGGAUCGGCUAACUCCGUG